Long non-coding RNA from Brienomyrus brachyistius, 322 nucleotides. RefSeq lists it as uncharacterized. The record is from RefSeq and is a predicted model, not a curated record. The transcript has 3 exons. Lineage: Eukaryota; Metazoa; Chordata; Actinopteri; Osteoglossiformes; Mormyridae.
AUAGAUGGAUAGUUUAAUAUGCUGUUGCAGUUAGAUUUCACUUUUUCUAAUCAUGUAGAUGGCAGAAUUUUAUGUGGUGGAAUUUCCUGAGCGGGAAGAAGUAGCAGUGGUGAGCAAACACUGGAUGAAGGGGGAGAAGAAGUGUCCGUGGCCAACAUUUGUUUCGCCAGACAAAAUAAGAAAAGCUGCAACCAAUCAGAAAGUUAUGAGAAAGCCAGGAAAAAUGCCAAGGCGAUAGAAGAGGACUCUUCAUUUUCCAGUGAUCCAGAAUGACAGCUGCAAAGGGGAGAUCGUUGUAGAAGGGUGGCCCUUAUAAAUGGAA